This 497-nucleotide ribosomal RNA is filed under the name uncultured bacterium. Its description in RNAcentral is "partial 16S ribosomal RNA". It matches the Rfam family "Bacterial small subunit ribosomal RNA", at positions 28 to 507 of the family's 1533-position model. The record is from RNAcentral.
GAUGAACGCUGGCGGCGUGCCUAAUACAUGCAAGUCGAGCGAACGGACGAGAAGCUUGCUUUUCUGAUGUUAGCGGCGGACGGGUGAGUAACACGUGGAUAACCUACCUAUAAGACUGGGAUAACUUCGGGAAACCGGAGCUAAUACCGGAUAAUAUUUUGAACCGCAUGGUUCAAAAGUGAAAGACGGUCUUGCUGUCACUUAUAGAUGGAUCCGCACUGCAUUAGCUAGUUGGUAAGGUAACGGCUUACCAAGGCAACGAUGCAUAGCCGACCUGAGAGCGUGAUCGGCCAGACUGGAACUGAGACACGGUCCAGACUCCUACGGGAAGCAGCAGUAGGGAAUCUUCCGCAAUGGGCGAGAGCCUGACGGAGCAACGCCGCGUGAGUGAUGAAGGUCUUCGGAUCGUAGAACUCUGUUAUUAGGGAAGAACAUAUGUGUAAGUAACUGUGCACAUCUUGACGGUACCUAAUCAGAAAGCCACGGCUAACUACGUG